UACGGAGGGUGCAAGCGUUAUCCGGAUUCACUGGGUUUAAAGGGUGCGUAGGCGGAAAAGUAAGUCCGUGGUGAAAUCUCCGAGCUUAACUCGGAAACUGCCGUGGAUACUAUUUUUCUUGAAUGUUGUGGAGGUUUGCGGAAUAUGUCAUGUAGCGGUGAAAUGCUUAGAUAUGACAUAGAACACCGAUUGCGAAGGCAGCAGGCUACACAAAUAUUGACGCUGAGGCACGAAAGCGUGGGGAUCAAACAGG
This 253-nucleotide ribosomal RNA is filed under the name uncultured bacterium. RNAcentral describes it as "partial 16S ribosomal RNA". It matches the Rfam family "Bacterial small subunit ribosomal RNA", at positions 524 to 776 of the family's 1533-position model. RNAcentral also lists the same sequence under 1 other name. The record is from RNAcentral.